UACAGAGGUCCCAAGCGUUGUUCGGAUUCACUGGGCGUAAAGGGUGCGUAGGUGGCUACUUUAAGUUUGAUGUGAAAGCUCCGGGCUCAACCCGGAAAUGGCAUUGAAGACUAUUGAGCUAGAGGUUUGGAGGGGGGACUGGAAUACUUGGUGUAGCAGUGAAAUGCGUAGAUAUCAAGUGGAACACCAGUGGCGAAGGCGAGUCCCUGGACAACACCUGACACUGAGGCACGAAAGCUAGGGGAGCAAACAGG
This 254-nucleotide ribosomal RNA is filed under the name uncultured bacterium. RNAcentral's name for it is "partial 16S ribosomal RNA". It matches the Rfam family "Bacterial small subunit ribosomal RNA", at positions 524 to 776 of the family's 1533-position model. The record is from RNAcentral.